This 1249-nucleotide ribosomal RNA is filed under the name metagenome. Its description in RNAcentral is "bacterial LSU rRNA". It matches the Rfam family "Bacterial large subunit ribosomal RNA", at positions 1635 to 2876 of the family's 2925-position model. The record is from RNAcentral.
UAUACGACCGUACCGCAAACCGACACUGGUGCGCGAGAUGAGUAUUCUAAGGCGCUUGAGAGAACUCAGGAGAAGGAACUCGGCAAAUUGACACCGUAACUUCGGAAGAAGGUGUGCCCUAUUAGUGUGUAGUGAACAACGAAGCAUGAAUGGGUUGCAAAAAAUCGGUGGCUGCGACUGUUUAUUAAAAACACAGCACUCUGCAAACACGAAAGUGGACGUAUAGGGUGUGACGCCUGCCCGGUGCUGGAAGAUUAAAUGAUGGGGUGCAAGCUCUUGAUUGAAGUCCCAGUAAACGGCGGCCGUAACUAUAACGGUCCUAAGGUAGCGAAAUUCCUUGUCGGGUAAGUUCCGACCUGCACGAAUGGCGUAACGAUGGCCACACUGUCUCCUCCUGAGACUCAGCGAAGUUGAAAUGUUUGUGAUGAUGCAAUCUCCCCGCGGAAAGACGGAAAGACCCCAUGAACCUUUACUGUAGCUUUGUAUUGGACUUUGAACAGAUCUGUGUAGGAUAGGUGGGAGGCUUUGAAGCAGGGUCGCUAGAUCUUGUGGAGCCAACGUUGAAAUACCACCCUGGUGUGUUUGAGGUUCUAACCUAGGUCCAUUAUCUGGAUCGGGGACAGUGCAUGGUAGGCAGUUUGACUGGGGCGGUCUCCUCCCAAAGCGUAACGGAGGAGUUCGAAGGUACGCUAGUUACGGUCGGACAUCGUGACGAUAGUGCAAUGGCAUAAGCGUGCUUAACUGCGAGACUGACAAGUCGAGCAGAUGCGAAAGCAGGACAUAGUGAUCCGGUGGUUCUGUAUGGAAGGGCCAUCGCUCAACGGAUAAAAGGUACUCUGGGGAUAACAGGCUGAUACCGCCCAAGAGUUCAUAUCGACGGCGGUGUUUGGCACCUCGAUGUCGGCUCAUCUCAUCCUGGGGCUGUAGCCGGUCCCAAGGGUAUGGCUGUUCGCCAUUUAAAGAGGUACGUGAGCUGGGUUUAAAACGUCGUGAGACAGUUUGGUCCCUAUCUUCCGUGGGCGCUGCAGAUUUGAGGAAGCCUGCUCCUAGUACGAGAGGACCGGAGUGGACACACCUCUGGUGUAUCGGUUGUCACGCCAGUGGCAUUGCCGAGUAGCUAAGUGUGGAAGAGAUAACCGCUGAAAGCAUCUAAGCGGGAAACUCGUUUCAAGAUGAGAUCUGCCGGGGCCUUGAGCCCCCUAAAGAGUCGUUCAAGACCAGGACGUUGAUAGGUCAGGUGUGGAAGCUA